CCUACGGGUGGCAGCAGUGAGGAAUAUUGGUCAAUGGACGCAAGUCUGAACCAGCCAAGCCGCGUGAAGGAAGACGGCCCUAUGAGUUGUAAACUGCUUUUGUCCGGGGGCAAAAGCCGCCACGCGUGUCUGUCCGAAAGUAUCGUACGAAAAAGCAUCGGCUAACUCCGUGCCAGCAGCCGCGGUAAUAGGGAGGAUUCGAGCGUUAUCCGGAUUUAUUGGGUUAAAAGGGUGCGCAGGCGGAAGAUAAAGUAAGCGGUAAAAUAGAGAGGCUCAACAUCUUCGUGCCGUUGAAACUGGUCUUCUUGAGUGAAGUAGCAGUAGGCGGAAUGUGUGGUGUAGCGGUGAAAUGCAUAGAUAUCACGCAGAACUCCGAUUGCGAAGGCAGCAUACCGGCGCUCAACUGACGCUCAUGCACGAAAGUGUGGGUAUCGAACAGGAUUAGAUACCCGUGUAGUC
This 459-nucleotide ribosomal RNA is filed under the name uncultured bacterium. Its description in RNAcentral is "partial 16S ribosomal RNA". It matches the Rfam family "Bacterial small subunit ribosomal RNA", at positions 338 to 795 of the family's 1533-position model. The record is from RNAcentral.